GUGACAGCGGCCCCGCUCUCUGAGGAGGACCCGAGGGUCUCUCGGUCUCUCCCUCCUUCCCUCCCUUCAGCAGCUCCCGCCGCCAUCACGCCCCGCUUCCCGCCUCCUCGCCCGCGCGCGCCGCUGGGGCCGCCAGAGGAGGGGGCGCGGGCAGGGGUUGGGCAGCGCGAUCCGCGACCGUUGGUCCCCCCUCCACGGCCCCUCCGGGGGAAGGUUUCAAACCGCCCGCCUCCCGCUGAGGGGAGGGCCCUGCGGGCGGCCCCUCUGCAGCUGCUGGGGGCCAGACGCAUCCACCGCCCCCUCGAGGGACCUGUAUAGUCGAAGUAUAUUUACGUAAGGAGAGGCCAGGGUAAAAGCGAGGGGCGGAGAGGAAAAAUGGUCUCUGGGCACAGCAGGGUGACGCCGGGCUGAGGUGAAGGAUGGGCAGAAGCCCCUGCAGGCUGAGGUACCUCGGCCGCGGCAUGGCCUCGCCUCCAGGCUGGAGGAAAAGCCGCGUUUCCCAGCUCCGCCGCCAAAAGUAAGCGUGCGGGGCAUUCACAAGUCUUUGAGGCAACCCAGCUCGAGAAGUGUUUCCUUUUUCCCUUAAGAGCCAAUGGCACACACCUAAAAGCCCCCAAAAAAGCCUUAACGUGGAAAAGAAGGGAGUUGAAAGCCUGUGUGUGUGCCGGCGAAGCGGUCACCCCGCACGUACAAGGGGAACUCCCGAAGGCGAUGCCCGCACAGCCCGAAAUAAAAGUGCUAAACGUCCGAGAGCCGAGGGACGCGGAAACUGAAUGGGGACCUCCUCGCCUCGGCUCUUUCAUAACAGCAGGAACGCGGCGCGGCGAUGCGGUAACGCGGCGAUUAGGCAACGUUUUGUGAGGGGAGAGAAGGAAAGGUUCGGUAAUCCGACGUGAAUAAAGCCCGAAAGAGCCAACUAAGCCAUACCUGGAUCUCAUGAAUGCGGCCGAAGCCGUCCUUCCAGAAGAACUCGUAGAGAUUGUAGAGGGUGUUGGGUCCGGGCAUUUCGUGCAGACUCUUCACCCUGCCCAGCUGCGGGGAGGGCUCCAGCAGCUCCCCCGGCCGCGCCGCUUUGUUCUCCGCGCCGCUCCGCACCUCCAGGGACUGACUGCCCGACAGCCCGGGCGCCUGGUGAAACCUGCUGACAAAAAGCGCGUGCUGGAAACAGAGCCCUUCUUUCUCUUCAUCGUAGAACUUCAAAAUGUUUCAACCAAUUUGCUAGGAUUUUAGAAGAAGCCAAGUCAUGGUUAUCAACUAGGUCCCAGUUUAAAAACAUUAUGUAAAGUGCUCCUAUCAGGACUCAAUCACUUUUGUUUAAGCGAUUUAAACAUCAACAUUUUGCUAAGUAGACAGUAAUCAGAUAAAUAAUAUUUCUAACAUCAGUACAAAGUCCAUAUACAAAACCUUUUCAGAAUUCACCUGAAAAAGUGUCCUCAGGUGAUAAAAAUAAAACCUGUUCAUCACACUGAAAACCAGACAGGUAUAACCGGGAUCCAGUCACUGGAUAAUAUACAUCUCCGUGAUGAGAUUAGGUCCUUAUCUUCUUUUCAUUCAGUCACAAGAACAGAAAUGCUGCUAAGCAAAAACGUGGCUAUAUAGAUGCACACAAAGAUGUCUUUUAGAGGACCUGCCAGAAAUUUCAAAUCCAUAUUUUUAGUUAUGGAAAGAGGUACAUGGAUGCACAGUUGUUAUAGAACGCACACAUGAAGGACAUCAUUUCCGGAAGCGCUUAAAUAGGGGAUGGAUGUGCUUAUUUGAAGAUGCCUUACUCCGAGAUGAGUGAUAUUCCAUAUAAACCGCAUCAUCGGCUCCUGACAUAGAGCUCAUUGUGCCUGUGCGACGUGACAUCUGCAAGCAUGGAGAGGAAAAACACAUGCUUAGAGUGUGUGAUUAGACAGAUCAGCUCUCAUCUACAGACCUUCGGACCAAAAAGCCCUCAAAACUGGUUUUUAUUUUCCUUAAAGGAGAACUUCUACUAAGAAAGUAACUGCCUGCCUACCACUCACUCUUAUGUAAAAUGGUCUUUUAGUUUCUGCCCUUUGGGCAUGAGGAAAUCAGUGAAUUAAUGAGCCAAGAGCUAAUGCAGCUUAAAAAAAAAAAAAAAAAAGUUUUCCAGUAUUUUACUAAGACAUGAAGGCAUCAGUGGUGCCAUCACAUUCAGAAUUAAAACGGAAUGGUCCUAUUCUACUGCAUUUGUGGUCAUUCUUUUCAAAGCAUUUUUCAUUACCUGAACAGACUUUGAACCAUAUUCUCCAGCAACUACCUCCUCCUCGGCAUCUAGGUCAGAUGCUUGUAGGACUUUCUGAAGAAGUUGUUGCUGUUCUUCUUUGGAUGAAAAUGAAAGUUCUUCUUCUUCCAUGCCUGCAAGCUUUGUUAUUACCUAAGAAACAGAGCACAGUAUAAGUCAGGAGUUUUUGAACUGUUAUUAGUUAUGGUGCGUGUGCAAAUGUAUCCCCCACCCCAAUCUCCUGUUAUAUUCUGGCUUGAAAUGCAGUAGCUCUGGACAGGAAAUGUAUGCCAAACAUUGUCAUUCCAUGCCAGCUUGACCAGGAACCUUACUGGAAGGAUGACUUCAUGCUGCAGCUUCAGGUUUUGUCCAAUGUAAGAACUAAUACUUUAUAUGAAUAUACUUUACAGUAAAGUACGUUGUAUUUCAUAAAAAUAAUCAAUGAGCUUUCCAGGCACCAAGAAUUUUAACAUACACAUUUAGAAACAUUCACAAUUAGUUGUUGAGAGACUGCACAACAACCUGCAGCAGAACAUCAGCAGUGUCACUGUUGUCAGCAGCAAUUUCUAAAUUGAAAAAAUGCAUUUCUCUGAGAAAUGUGUAGUUUUAAGAAUCUAUUCAAGGAAGCAACCUGUCCUAUUAUAUGGACAAAUGAACUCUAUGAUUCCUCUUGUUGUUUAUGAAGUACAUGUGCCAUGAUCACCUCAAAACCAAAACAGAGCCACAGGAAGAACUGCAUUAGCAUGUUUACAGUUGUUGCAGAACAGUGCUGGCAUAUUUCAUAAAACAGAAAGAAUUUCCAUUGCAUCACAAUUUUUUUAAGCUGCCGAACAGAUGCCAAGUUUAAUGUAAUCAGAUUCUUUGAUUCAGAUUCUUUUGCUGAAAGGCACAGAAUUGAGCUACUGAUAGAUGAAAAGAAGAAAGUCCUGGAAGAAAAAUGCAUACAGUUACCUUUUUAAGAGAGUACCAAAUUUUUAGUAAUGUUAGGCAUCAGGAAUAAAAAUUCCAAAGGAAAGGAUGUUAGCACUGAAAUAAUUGCCUAAAGAUGAAGUAGAGUCACGAAGACAAACAUCUGCUGGGAAUGACAUACACAGUUGAUUCUGGCUUGUAAUGAAGAAACAUUAGAUGGUUUCUUCAAGUUUCUUCCAACCCUAUUAUUGUUCAAUGCCAGCUAUGACUAAAGCUUAAAGUUCAGCAAACAGAAGAAAACAGAUAUUCUAGCAUUUUGUUACUAAUCUUCAAAUAAAGAACAUUCCAGUACUGGUCAGCUAAAAUUCUGCUCCAGACAGUCAGAUGCCAUUUGCACUACUUUUAUUGCCACGAAGUCCGAACUCCUAGGACUAGGUCUUCCUUGCAAAAUAAAACCUCUCUAUUUUAACCUCUUACUUAGUUCUAUAAUCCGAGACUUAUAUUCAAAUAAAAGCAGAGGGAUUUCUUUAAUCUUCUUGGCUAUAGCCACAUAGACUCAUUUGUUGUAAUUACCUGCAGCUGACUGAUCUACAGUUUUGUCAAGAUAUGUUCAAUACAAAGCAAAACAAGGCUCUUACAUGUAAAGCCUAUGACAUGUCUGUUUUGAUGCAAAGACCUCCUCUUUAACAGGGCCACUGAUGACAGAGCAGUUUACUUCAGAGUACCUGCAGUUCAUACAGGUUCUACCCACGGAGAUGUCCCAAAAUGGAUGUAUGCCUCUAAUGAUCUUCAACAGCUAGGUUCAAGUGCAAUCCAUUAGAGACUAUUUGCUCUUUCACCUUGUGCAAUUUGUGCAGUGACUGCUGCACAUGGCUAUCUGGAACAUCAUUUGUCUUUCACGUCACCGUCACCACUGCUGAAACACACCACCCACCACCUCAGUUUGCUAGCAUCUACUGUUUAAGUCUCCGUAAGUGUUCAGCAAGCUUCAGUGAACGUCAAUGGGUGCCAUUUUUUCUGCACGGAGGAAUUCAAUUCCACAUCUUUGCUUCAUAUGCACUUCCAUGCCAGACACCAUUUUGUCGGACUGCCCCCCUGCUACCAUCUGUCACACAACAACAACAUGCAAUGGAAUAUUGGUGAGAAGAUUCAGCCUUUACUGCCAUACUACCAACAUCCACCUCUGACACUGUGGGCCAACAUAAUUAAACAGGAGGCAUUACUUUCAGAUCCACCCUUAUAUAUCCGAAAGUAAUGUAACUAAAGUAACUUACCUUCCUAAAAGCUGUAUUAAACUACUUGUAUCUACCCUUACAGCAACAGAGUUAACAGAAUAAUGCAGGAAAAAUUUUUGCCUGCAAGUAAAACCUUCAUUAAUACAUUUCACAACUGUAAUUCUCAAGUAUCUGACCUAGUCACAAAAUGAAAGAAUUAAAGUUAUAUUCACAGGCCACAGUUUAGUAAUUAGAAGGGACAAAUUACCUUGAAGCUAUAGCCUUGAUCUACAAGAAACCGCUGUCGCUUUGUUGAAUAUGCCAUUUCCUGAGUGUCUUGGGAUACAAGAGAAUAGAAAAAGGCAUUGUAUUCCUCUGCAACCAUGCCUAGGAGACAAAGCCACCAAAGGAUUAGUUCCAUUUGGAUCACUACAACCAAGAAGAAAAAAGGACUAAAUUGUAAAAAUAGGUAUUCAAAGAAGAAUCCUCUCCACAAAAUCAGUUUGUAAAAUGUAUUUUAAAUACAAGCUGCAUCCAGACCUUACAUAAACUGAGUGACAAAGCACACCACAUCGAAAUUCCUACUCUUGUUCAUAAUAACUCGAGGAUAGCUUAAAGGGAAAUGGAAAAGGAAAUUUAGACUAUCCCAGUUAUGCUGGUACCCCGAGAAGAACCUGCUGCUUAACUAUGCAGAACAAAGUAGAAGAAAAAAUUACUUACAUAAUAGUUUGCAAACAAGUGGUAAGAAGUCGAGAACAAAGAUUGUAAUGGAUGUCAAAAAAGUUAAACAGAAAUUACAAUGGAAAUUUAUCAGUGUGAUUUAUCAAUGUAAACGAAAGUUAGCAAUCUUUUUGCAUUAAAAGAAAGAUAAAACGAUAUUUUCUUUAACAACAAAAAAACCAAAGCAACCAAACCAAUCAAACAAACAAACAAACAAAAGCCCACUGACCUUAUGGCUAUUUUACCUACUCUCAAAUACCACUGGGUUUUCUUGCAAAACCCAAGGUCUCACUAACACAAGUUUUGUAUGCAUUUUCAAACAAAACUUCAGCCACAAGAAACAUAAACUGUACAGAAAAUAAACUUUGCUGUACUACACCAAGACAGCACUGUGGAGUGUGCUUUGGUAGGAAGAAAAUUACAGAUAACAGCAGCAACUCUGUAUGGGGACAAUAAAAAGAGACUUCACAUCACAUGAAAACAGGUGGGAGAAAGCAAACCCCAGAUUCUGCUUACAACACUCAUUUUCCCAACAGCCAAAUGCAGAACUGAAGCACUGCAAUUUUAUUCUCCACCUGACAGUUAUCAAUAAUUUCCUCUGAAAUACGACCACUUCCUAGGGAAUACUCUUUCUAUCUAAACUAAGUGCCAACAGGCUGUGAUAUAAACCAAUCUUUAAGCUUCUUACUACCUUAACUUGAGAGAACUCUUGAAGUAGAACCAUUUCACCUUGAGCUACUUUAUAAUUUGUCUCAAGAAGAUAUAAAUGGGAUUAGAGCAGAUUAAACAUCGCCUAUUUAUCAGUUAAUAGAACAGACUUACAUCAGUGUCUUUUAGGAAACAUUCAGUUAAUCAAGUCAACCAGCAAAUUCUGCCUAAGAGCGAUUCACCUUAGUUCAAGACUAAUAGAAACGUCAAAAGAAAACGUGACAGAAGCAUCCCAAUAGCACUCAUAUGUAUUCUUCAAACUGAGACACAGAUGGGAGUGAUCAGUGAGAUUUCAAAUAACCAAUGAAGCAAUUCCUAAAAUCCUGACCCCACAGUAAGUUUAAAUCCUACUCACAUAUCCAUCAUAGAAAAAGGAAACACCAGUACAACUGCAGUUUUUUUCCUAUAUGAUCUCUGCACUCUGAGUCUAGAACAUACCAUAAAAAGCAAAGCUCACUUUCACUGAAGCUACAGUGACACUGUGACUCCACAUAUAUCCCAGGCCAGAGUGACAAAUAGCUUUUCAGCUUACAGUUUACUUAUCCUCUAGAAAUAUACUGGAGGAUGAGGGGAGGAACAGCAAAAACCUGAUGAACUAUUCAACCUGAUAACGAAAACAUGAUUUUGACAGUCUUUGGGUAGGAAGUAAAUGCUACAAGCACUCCAUUUAUGCUUUGCUAUGGAUGGACAGGAUUGCUGCUCCUGUUAGUGCCACAGCUUUCUACAACCUCCACCUGAAGUGUUUGUAAAUCAACUUUAAUAAAACACUAAAACAAGCAUUAGAGGAGAGAGAUACCUCAUAGAAACAAUGCUGGCUUUAUUGUAACAUAGUAUAUACAAAUUCACAAGUUUGGAGGAAAAAAAUAAACAUCACUGGGUGUUCUGGCUCAGCUGAUCUUAAGUUCUUAAAACAGAAAGGGGGAAACAAUGCUAUUCUGGCAUAGUAAAUCAUUGUAACAGGAGAGGAAAGAAGAUGCAAGAAAGUAUACAAGAAAGAAUUCAUUUCUGGCUAAAAAAGAAAUGGAGAAAAGAAAUAAGAGCUGCUGCAAGUGAAAGACUGAAUGGCAUCCGUAUUAGAACAACAACAACAAAGCCAAAACCCAACACUUCUCUCACACGGAACCUUGAACUACCUUCUUAUUCAUGAUAUUGCAGUUUAUUCAGUCUGUGUUUCAGUAUUCUAAAUAGUUGAGUAAUUAUCUGAAUGCCGUACUGUAUUCCAAAGAGCAGAGCCCAAGAACUACCUCACCUUUUUUGGCUCUCAGUACUCGCCCCAGUCUUUGAGCCUCCUGUCUUCGAGAUCCACCGUGGGAUGAAAUCUGAAUCAGAACAUUGGCUUCAGGUAGAUCAAAGGAUGUGUCACCCACCUACAACACAGAAGCAGUGUCUGAGCAGCAUCUUAUUUCCAUGUACCAAUAACGACUUUGUACAAAGUACACCUUUAUUAGUUGCAAUAAUAAAACGUCAAAUGCCCGAUGUGCAUGUAUAACUUGUUCUUAUAUAAGGCUCACUCUGAAGAUGAGUACAAAAACACACUACCUCCUCACCUUUGAAAUGAAAAUAGUGUUGAUUUUUGGAUUGUGCUUGAAGUUUUGUAGAAUUUGCAUUCUUUCUCCUUGUGCAGUAGGACCAUAUAUAUAAGGUCUGAAAAAAACAGAACACAUGCAAAUUAAACCAAUUCAAAAAUCCUCAUUUUUUAACAGGCACUAAGAUAUCAUGGCAGGGAGCUCAUUACACAGUGAUUUAAACGUAUUAAUAGCACUGGUGAAAAAAAGAGCAUGAGCUAUGUGACUCUGGAUGACAGACUUAGGACAGAGUAAAAACUGGCUUAACAAAUUUUGAGUUCUGAGGCCUCAAAAAAUUAAAGGCAAAAUAAUUCCUGUCAUGUGCAUGUUCUUUCCCUGCUAGUACCAAGGGAAUAGAAUGGGGCAAAGGAGGAGCUGGUGCAGCAGCAGCCACCAGGCAAUGCCAAUUUCUCUCCACUGGGGAGCCCACCUGCCCCAUAUGCUUGAGCCAGGCAGUGGAACCCACCCGCUGAGCCAGCACAGCC
RNAcentral lists this long non-coding RNA (7828 nucleotides) under Gallus gallus (chicken). Lineage: Eukaryota; Metazoa; Chordata; Aves; Galliformes; Phasianidae. The record is from RNAcentral.